Molecule: ribosomal RNA, 301 nt
Filed under: uncultured bacterium
Lineage: Bacteria
Description: partial 16S ribosomal RNA
Rfam family: Bacterial small subunit ribosomal RNA
Source: RNAcentral
CAGCCGCCGCGGUAAUACGUAGGUGGCAAGCGUUGUCCGGAAUUAUUGGGCGUAAAGGGCUCGCAGGCGGUUUCUUAAGUCUGAUGUGAAAGCCCCCGGCUCAACCGGGGAGGGUCAUUGGAAACUGGGAAACUUGAGUGCAGAAGAGGAGAGUGGAAUUCCACGUGUAGCGGUGAAAUGCGUAGAGAUGUGGAGGAACACCAGUGGCGAAGGCGACUCUCUGGUCUGUAACUGACGCUGAGGAGCGAAAGCGUGGGGAGCAAACAGGAUUAGAGACCCGCGUAGUCCCUGUCUCUUAUAC